Molecule: ribosomal RNA, 497 nt
Filed under: uncultured bacterium
Lineage: Bacteria
Description: partial 16S ribosomal RNA
Rfam family: Bacterial small subunit ribosomal RNA
Source: RNAcentral
GAUGAACGCUGGCGGCGUGCCUAAUACAUGCAAGUCGAGCGAACAGACGAGGAGCUUGCUCCUCUGACGUUAGCGGCGGACGGGUGAGUAACACGUGGAUAACCUACCUAUAAGACUGGGAUAACUUCGGGAAACCGGAGCUAAUACCGGAUAAUAUAUUGAACCGCAUGGUUCAAUAGUGAAAGACGGUUUUGCUGUCACUUAUAGAUGGAUCCGCGCCGCAUUAGCUAGUUGGUAAGGUAACGGCUUACCAAGGCAAGCAUGCGUAGCCGACCUCAGAGGGUGAUCGGCCACACUGGAACGGGGACACGGUCCAGACGCCUGCGAGAGGCAGCAGUAGGGAAUCUUCCGCAAUGGGCGAAAGCCUGACGGAGCAACGCCGCGUGAGUGAUGAAGGUCUUCGGAUCGUAAAACUCUGUUAUUAGGGAAGAACAAAUGUGUAAGUAACUAUGCACGUCUUGACGGUACCUAAUCAGAAAGCCACGGCUAACUACGUG